RNAcentral lists this ribosomal RNA (667 nucleotides) under Bacillus mycoides. RNAcentral's name for it is "bacterial SSU rRNA". It matches the Rfam family "Bacterial small subunit ribosomal RNA", at positions 40 to 686 of the family's 1533-position model. Lineage: Bacteria; Bacillati; Bacillota; Bacilli; Caryophanales; Bacillaceae. The record is from RNAcentral.
UGGCAUCGACGAACAAUGCAAGUCGAGCGAAUGGAUUAAGAGCUUGCUCUUAUGAAGUUAGCGGCGGACGGGUGAGUAACACGUGGGUAACCUGCCCAUAAGACUGGGAUAACUCCGGGAAACCGGGGCUAAUACCGGAUAACAUUUUGCACCGCAUGGUGCGAAAUUGAAAGGCGGCUUCGGCUGUCACUUAUGGAUGGACCCGCGUCGCAUUAGCUAGUUGGUGAGGUAACGGCUCACCAAGGCAACGAUGCGUAGCCGACCUGAGAGGGUGAUCGGCCACACUGGGACUGAGACACGGCCCAGACUCCUACGGGAGGCAGCAGUAGGGAAUCUUCCGCAAUGGACGAAAGUCUGACGGAGCAACGCCGCGUGAGUGAUGAAGGCUUUCGGGUCGUAAAACUCUGUUGUUAGGGAAGAACAAGUGCUAGUUGAAUAAGCUGGCACCUUGACGGUACCUAACCAGAAAGCCACGGCUAACUACGUGCCAGCAGCCGCGGUAAUACGUAGGUGGCAAGCGUUAUCCGGAAUUAUUGUGCGUAAAGCGCGCGCAGGUGGUUUCUUAAGUCUGAUGUGAAAGCCCACGGCUCAACCGUGGAGGGUCAUUGGAAACUGGGAGACUUGAGUGCAGAAAGAGGAAAGUGGAAUUCCUUGUGUAGCGGUGAAA